GUGGGGAAUUUUGGACAAUGGGCGCAAGCCUGAUCCAGCAAUGCCGCGUGCAGGAAGAAGGCCUUCGGGUUGUAAACUGCUUUUGUACGGAACGAAACGGUCCGGGUUAAUACCCUGGGCUAAUGACGGUACCGUAAGAAUAAGCACCGGCUAACUACGUGCCAGCAGCCGCGGUAAUACGUCGGGUGCAAGCGUUAAUCGGAAUUACUGGGCGUAAAGCGUGCGCAGGCGGUUUUGUAAGACAGGCGUGAAAUCCCCGGGCUCAACCCGGGAAUUGCGCUUGUGACUGCAAGGCUGGAGUGCGGCAGAGGGGGAUGGAAUUCCGCGUGUAGCAGUGAAAUGCGUAGAUAUGCGGAGGAACACCGAUGGCGAAGGCAAUCCCCUGGGCCUGCACUGACGCUCAUGCACGAAAGCGUGGGGAGCAAACAGGAUUAGAACCCUUGUAGUCC
This 449-nucleotide ribosomal RNA is filed under the name uncultured bacterium. RNAcentral's name for it is "partial 16S ribosomal RNA". It matches the Rfam family "Bacterial small subunit ribosomal RNA", at positions 354 to 796 of the family's 1533-position model. The record is from RNAcentral.